UAAGCCAAGUAACUUAGAAGUUAACCAUAUGAAAAAAGCAAUGACAAUCAAACUAACCUCUUCUUUUCAUAUGAAGUAUAAUCUGUUCUCUAUUUUGCCUUUGUGAAGAAUGCACUUUGCACUCCCUACACACAAAAUAGCAUACAUUGAAAAUGCCUAGUAACAUUAUAAAAACUAUAAAUAUAUAGUACUGCAUAUGUAUCAUAUACUAUAUUGUAUACGUAUUUGGACAUAAGGUAUAAAGAUUUACUAACAUAAUUAAGCUUAAAUUUAACAAAAGAAGUAAUUACAAAUUGAAAUCAAACGAUACUAUAGUUAAUUCUGAGUAAAUUUUACAAAUAGUAUUAUAAAUUGUUAAAAAAAUAACACCAUUAAAAAAACUCAUUACUUAAAUCUGCAAUUCUAUUAAAAACACAUCACUAAAAAUUAACUCCAAGGAAAGGGGAUUAACAAAUUAUACCUUUUUAAGAGUUGUAAUUGUUUUAUCUAUAUGUUGAGCUUGACCCACUGGAUUUGAAUCCUCAAUUGACUUAGGGACAGGCACGAAGUCUAAGGUUAAACAUAUGGUAAAAAUUACACUGGAUCAAGGCAUGAUUAGAGUUGAUGGAUGCAAUAUGGAAUAUAAGUUUUUGGAGAGAGAGACAACCAAACUUCACACUGGAUCAUAUUUUUUAGAGAUAGAGAGAGUUCUACUUUUCAACAGCGGAGAGAACAAAUUCAAGCUUGGGCAUAAAAAGAAAAAAUAGAAGCUUCAUAGCACAAUAAUUAACCACAAUCCUCUGUUUUUCUAAGUGCAAAUAGAAAAAAGGAAUCAAAAUAUUCAACACAAAAUCUUCACAUUAGCUCAAAAACUAUAUUAUUUCCAGAGGUUUCCAAUUUCCCAGCACGGAACGACAAACAUAAAAGCAUUAAAAAUAUAUAAUUGCAAAAAAAAAAAUAACAAUUCCAAGAAACUAAAUGCAAAGUUAGCCAGAUCUGCACAGUAACACAAACCCAUUACUUGAAAUUAAGAGCAUUGCGGCUCACCCUGAAAACACCCAUUUUGCGUGAGGAAGAGAAGCGAUGUUGCUCUGGCUGCUGAGUGCUGCUGGCUCCAAAGCAGUUUGUCUUCCAAAACUUUAUAAGAGCAAGUCCAACCCUUUAAAGCCACUGUAAAUCGCCAUGGAUUUACAUCAUUCUGCUUGCCUAAAAAAAGCAAACAAAAAAAGAAAAAAAUGGGAAGUAUAAAAUUCAAAUGACCCUUGAUGAACAUAACCCAGAAAUUUUCCUUGUAUUCCAUAAAUGCAAUAAAACAAAAGUCAGUGUCUCCAUUUUCCAAACAACCAAGCAAGCAAGCAACAAACUUCGAAAACCCUAAUUCGAACCAAUUUAGAACUAUAACCAAGUAAACCACUUAAUAAAAAAAAACCCACUAAUUUUCUCAAAAACCCAACAAAUUUAAAGGAUACAGAUGAUAAAUCCCCGUAAAUUCCCAAAUUUGAAAACCAGAAGAUAAAAAAAAGGCAAAGAGGCUUAUCUUUAUUCACUAAUCGGACACUAACAGAAAAAACUCUAAUUCAUAUUAUUCAGAUUACAAAUACACAGGGACCAUAUAGCUAAUAAUGCUAGACAAUUUGUCCCUAAUCCAACACAAAAAUUGUUCUGGUUAUACAUACGAUACCCGCCUAAAUAUCAACCAAUUCCAAAUUAAAAUGGAAAAUGAAACGGAGCAACAUAAAUUGAAUACAAUUUGGGGAAAUUUUGGGGAAAAUUAUCUCACCUGGAGCUCCGAAUCUCCAAGAGGUCCCGAUCCGAGCAGGCUCCGAAUUGGGUUGCUGAAGAUGGUGAUCAAGGAAGGGUUUUAGAGGUGGGUUUGAUCAGAUCAAAGCCGAAGCCAUUAGGUUUGGGGGGAGAGGAACACAGAGCCACUGUGAGAGAGAGAGAGCAUGCGUUGUCUUUUUCUUCUAUCCAGCCACUCGAUCGCAGUUCCUUCACAAAAAUUAUAUGCAUGUGUUAGUUUUUCAAGUUCCAGUUUUGCAGUCACCUAAUCGAUCAUAACACCAUUUGCAAAUAUGACAAACAUAAACAAUUAAGUCAGCAACAUGAUAUGCCAUCCCUUUCAUAUUGCAAUUAUAUAAAGAAAAAAAGAAAUGAACCAAAAUAAAAUUAUACUAUAAUCCCAUUAUAUGAAGGCCAAACUCUUGAGUUGGGGCUGGUGGCCGUUGACCACAUCAUCGCCUCCAUUUGAGAGAAAAGAGUUUGUUUGGCUCUUUUGUCCAAUUAUUUACUCUAACCGUAUUUAAAUGAAGAAGGACAACACCUAUGUUGCUCCAUUCUUGUGAUCUAAAUUUGAAGACGGCCCAUUGGGAGGGGCAGUUAUAAGUGUCAUCCUUUUUGUUUCUCCUAUCCCUGGAUUGUCAACAAAAAAAAACAUCAAACGAAGUGCAAUACAAUCCAAUUUAAUGAUCACAAAAUUUGAGCUCCAAACAAAGUCACAGGUCAGCAAUCACCUAAUUGAUCAUAACACCAUUCACAAAUAUGAAAAACAUAAACAAUUAAGUCAGCAACAUGAUAUGUCAUCCCCUUCAUAUAAACACAGAUUGCAAUUCAUAUACGCCACAUUAUUUACAACAAUUACAAAUCAAGAAACAAUUAAAUCAUCAUCAUGAAUUACAAUGUAAUAUCAACACCAUCAAUUAGAAGAGACAAAGCUACAUGGCAAUAAACAUACAGAGAGGAACUGCUUC
This 2726-nucleotide long non-coding RNA is filed under the name Malus domestica (apple). RNAcentral's name for it is "long non-coding RNA (MDOM_LNC016319)". The record is from RNAcentral. Lineage: Eukaryota; Viridiplantae; Streptophyta; Magnoliopsida; Rosales; Rosaceae.